CUGCAGUCACAUGGUCAAAACUGCAGUCACAUGGUCAAAACUGCAGUCACAUGGUCAAAACUCUUCACACAUUUAGCGAAACAGAAGUGUAUGUGGACCAAACUGUGAAUAAUUUUUCAUUGUUUUCACACAAAAUGCAUUCAAUGACCACAUUCUCCAAAAUCCAUGAACUAUUUUGUCAUUCAUAUUCCAUCAUCUGUAAAACUAUAUAUUUGCAGCACGUUUUGAAAUGCAAACGCACUGUUUCCAAAACUGUUAAAAACACAUUCAAAACAGAAUGAUGGCCAAUGUCGUACCUUUCUGCAGUUACCAGACUGAAACACUGGAAACAUGGACCAAGGAAGACGGGUUGGUGGGGGAAGAAGAGUGGCAGUGAGAGGGAGACAGGUUGUUGGGGGAAGAAGAGUGGCAGGGAGAGGGAGACAGGUUGGUGGGGAGAGAAGAGUGUCAGGGAGAGGGAGACAGGUUGGUAGGGAUAGAAGAGUGUCAGGGAGAGGGAGACAGGUUGGUGGGGGAAGAAGAGUGGCAGGGAGAGGGAGACAGGUUGGUGGGGGAAGAAGAGUGGCAGGGAGAGGGAGACAGGUGGGUGGGGGAAGAAGAGUGGCAGUGAGAGGGAGACAGGUUGUUGGGGGAAGAAGAGUGGCAGGGAGAGGGAGACAGGUUGGUGGGGGAAGAAGAGUGGCAGUGAGAGGGUGACAGGUUGUUGGGGGAAGAAGAGUGGCAGGGAGAGGGAGACAGGUUGGUGGGGAGAGAAGAGUGUCAGGGAGAGGGAGACAGGUUGGUGGGGAAGAAGAGUGUCAGGGAGAGGGAGACAGGUUGGUGGGGGAAGAAGAGUGGCAGGGAGAGGGAGACAGGUUGGUGGGGAAAGAAGAGUGGCAGGGAGAGGGAGACAGGUUGGUGGGGAGAGAAGAGUGGCAGGGAGAGGGAGACAGGUUGGUGGGGAGAGAAGAGUGGCAGGGAGAGGGAGACAGGUUGGUGGGGAGAGAAGAGUGGCAGGGAGAGGGAGACAGGUUGGUGGGGGAAGAAGAGUGGCAGGGAGAGGGAGACAGGUUGGUGGGGAGAGAAGAGUGGCAGGGAGAGGGAGACAGGUUGGUGGGGAGAGAAGAGUGGCAGGGAGAGGGAGACAGGUUGGUGGGGAGAGAAGAGUGGCAGGGAGAGGGAGACAGGUUGGUGGGGAGAGAAGAGUGGCAGGGAGAGGGAGACAGGUUGGUAGGGAUAGAAGAGUGGCAGGGAGAGGGAGACAGGUUGGUGGGGAGAUAAGAGUGUCAGGGAGAGGGAGACAGGUUGGUAGGGAUAGAAGAGUGGCAGGGAGAGGGAGACAGGUUGGUGGGGAGAUAAGAGUGUCAGGGAGAGGGAGACAGGUUGGUAGGGAUAGAAGAGUGUCAGGGAGAGGGAGACAGGUUGGUAGGGAUAGAAGAGUGUCAGGGAGAGGGAGACAGGUUGGUAGGGAUAGAAGAGUGGCAGGGAGAGGGAGACAGGUUGGUGGGGAGAGAAGAGUGUCAGGGAGAGGGAGACAGGUUGGUGGGGAGAGAAGAGUGGCAGGGAGAGGGAGACAGGUUGGUGGGGAGAGAAGAGUGGCAGGGAGAGGGAGACAGGUUGGUGGGGAGAGAAGAGUGUCAGGGAGAGGGAGACAGGUUGGUAGGGAUAGAAGAGUGGCAGGGAGAGGGAGACAGGUUGGUGGGGAGAGAAGAGUGGCAGGGAGAGGGAGACAGGUUGGUGGGGAGAGAAGAGUGGCAGGGAGAGGGAGACAGGUUGGUGGGGAGAGAAGAGUGGCAGGGAGAGGGAGACAGGUUGGUGGGGAGAGAAGAGUGGCAGGGAGAGGGAGACAGGUUGGUGGGGGAAGAAGAGUGGCAGGGAGAGGGAGACAGGUUGGUGGGGAGAGAAGAGUGGCAGGGAGAGGGAGACAGGUUGGUGGGGAGAGAAGAGUGACAGGGAGAGGGAGACAGGUUGGUGGGGAGAGAAGAGUGGCAGGGAGAGGGAGACAGGUUGGUGGGGAGAGAAGAGUGACAGGGAGAGGGAGACAGGUUGGUAGGGAUAGAAGAGUGGCAGGGAGAGGGAGAAUACAUGGAGGACAAAGGAGAGGAAGAACAAGAGCGGUGGUCUCUGAUGAGAUGAGGGCCACAAUUAUUGACAAUGUUGUAAACCAUGGUCUCUCUUUGAGAGAGGCCGGUUUAAGGCUGCAAUCAAAUUUGCAGGUUUCAACAGUUUCAUCAACAGUACAAAUUUUCCGGCAAAACUACAGGUGAGAUGUGUAUCAUUCAAUGAUAAUUGAAUUGUUUUGUGUUUUUCAGUAGGAUCCAAAGGUAGCCUCCCACAGGAGGGAGAGGCAAAAUAUUAUCAGAUGCGCAGCCACAAUGUCAAAAUUGACUCUAUCGUAAACAUUCAUGAAAACAAAAACAAACAUUUGGGCCAUGAUAAAGAUGUGAAAUUAGCGGAAUCGAGUGGUUUGGCCUAGAGUUUCUGUUUGUGAGGGUGGAGACGUCGCUUCAUUCUUUAGCACAAAGGUUAUCACAAUUGUUAACAGAAUCCCUCCCCAGAAGUAAAACAGGAAUUUACUAACUUUCACAAGAGAAUUUUACUUCUGGGUAACCGAGAUUAGAUUUGGACAACAAUAGGUCUGUGUCA
Molecule: long non-coding RNA, 2625 nt
Organism: Oncorhynchus keta (chum salmon)
Lineage: Eukaryota; Metazoa; Chordata; Actinopteri; Salmoniformes; Salmonidae
Exons: 3
Source: RefSeq, a predicted model, not a curated record